UACGUAGGUGACAAGCGUUGUCCGGAUUUACUGGGCGUAAAGAGCGCGCAGGCGGUCGAUCAAGUCGAGUGUGAAAGCCCCCCGGCUCAACUGGGGAGGGUCACGCGAUACUGCUCGACUUGAAGGCAGGAGAGGGAAGUGGAAUUCCCGGUGUAGUGGUGAAAUGCGUAGAUAUCGGGAGGAACACCAGUGGCGAAGGCGACUUCCUGGCCUGUUCUUGACGCUGAGGCGCGAAAGCUAGGGUAGCAAACGGG
RNAcentral lists this ribosomal RNA (254 nucleotides) under uncultured bacterium. RNAcentral's name for it is "partial 16S ribosomal RNA". It matches the Rfam family "Bacterial small subunit ribosomal RNA", at positions 524 to 776 of the family's 1533-position model. The record is from RNAcentral.